Molecule: ribosomal RNA, 253 nt
Filed under: uncultured bacterium
Lineage: Bacteria
Description: partial 16S ribosomal RNA
Rfam family: Bacterial small subunit ribosomal RNA
Source: RNAcentral
UACGUAGGUGGCAAGCGUUGUCCGGAUUUACUGGGCGUAAAGAGCGCGCAGGCGGUCUUCCAAGUCGGAUGUGAAAGCCCCCGGCUCAACUGGGGAGGGUCAUUCGAUACUGUUCGACUCGAAGGCAGGAGAGGGAAGUGGAAUUCCGGGUGUAGUGGUGAAAUGCGUAGAUAUCCGGAGGAACACCAGUGGCGAAGGCGACUUUCUGGCCUGUUCUUGACGCUGAGGCGCGAAAGCUAGGGGAGCAAACGGG